Molecule: ribosomal RNA, 490 nt
Filed under: uncultured bacterium
Lineage: Bacteria
Description: partial 16S ribosomal RNA
Rfam family: Bacterial small subunit ribosomal RNA
Source: RNAcentral
GAUGAACGCUAGCGAUAGGCUUAACACAUGCAAGUCGAGGGGCAGCAUGGUCUUAGCUUGCUAAGACUGAUGGCGACCGGCGCACGGGUGCGUAACGCGUAUGCAACUUGCCUCACAGAGGGGGAUAACCCGUCGAAAGACGGACUAAUACCGCGUACACUCCAUCUUGGCCAUCCACGUUAGAGGAAAUGAAAUUCGCUGUGAGUUAGUCAUCCGUCCCAUUAGCUGUUUGGUGAGUUAACGGCUCACCAAGGCGACGAUGGGUAGGGGAACUCACAGGUUGGACCCCCGGAUGAGUACUGGGACACGGACCAGAGUACUACGGGAGGCAGCAGUGAGGAAUAUUGGGCAAUGGGCGAGAGCCUGAACCAGCCAAGUCGAGUGAAGGAUGACUGUCUUAUGGAUUGUAAGCUUCUUUUAUACGGGAAUAACAAGAGUCACGUGUGACUCCAUGCAGGUACCGUAUGAAUAAGCAUCGGCUAACUCCGUG